RNAcentral lists this unclassified non-coding RNA (258 nucleotides) under Hevea brasiliensis (rubber tree). Lineage: Eukaryota; Viridiplantae; Streptophyta; Magnoliopsida; Malpighiales; Euphorbiaceae. The record is from RNAcentral.
GCCAGCGACAAGGGACCGGGCGACAGGAAAGCCAACCGCCGCGGCGCGGCGCGUCUCGCCGCCGUGCAGGCGCUGUACCAGAUGGACAUUGCAGGCGCCGGCAUCGAGGACNGCGGAGUUUGAGAGCCACUGGCUCGGCAGCGAGGUCGAAGGCGACACCUACCUGCCGGCCGAGGCGGCGUUCUUCAAGGACGUGGUGUCCGGUGUGGUGCGCGACCAAAGCAAGCUCGAUCCGCUGAUCGACAAGGCGCUCGAAAG